AGGGAAUAUUGCGCAAUGGGCGGAAGCCUGACGCAGCGACGCCGCGUGAGCGAAGAAGGCCUUCGGGUCGUAAAGCUCUGUCCUUGGGGAAGAAGGCGAAAGCUUGACGGUACCCAAGAAGAAAGCCCCGGCUAACUACGUGCCAGCAGCCGCGGUAAUACGUAGGGGGCGAGCGUUGUCCGGAAUUACUGGGCGUAAAGGGUGCGUAGGCGGCCUUUUAAGUCAGAUGUGAAAGGCUGCGGCUUAACCGCAGGACUGCAUUUGAAACUGGAAGGCUUGAGUGUCGGAGAGGGUAGUGGAAAUCCCAGUGUAGCGGUGAAAUGCGUAGAUAUUGGGAGGAACACCAGUGGCGAAGGCGACUACCUGGACGAUAACUGACGCUGAGGCACGAAAGCUAGGGGAGCAAAC
This 408-nucleotide ribosomal RNA is filed under the name uncultured bacterium. RNAcentral's name for it is "bacterial SSU rRNA". It matches the Rfam family "Bacterial small subunit ribosomal RNA", at positions 356 to 773 of the family's 1533-position model. The record is from RNAcentral.